Molecule: non-coding RNA, 137 nt
Organism: Triticum aestivum (bread wheat)
Lineage: Eukaryota; Viridiplantae; Streptophyta; Magnoliopsida; Poales; Poaceae
Source: Rfam
UAUGUACUGUACCUCCGUCCGAAAAUACUUGUCAUCAAAAUGGAUAAAAAAAGGUGUACCUAGAACUAAAAUACGUCUAGAUACAUCCCCUUUUAUCCAUUUUGAUGACAAGUGUUUCCGGACGGAGGGAGUGGGAA